This 497-nucleotide ribosomal RNA is filed under the name uncultured bacterium. Its description in RNAcentral is "partial 16S ribosomal RNA". It matches the Rfam family "Bacterial small subunit ribosomal RNA", at positions 28 to 507 of the family's 1533-position model. The record is from RNAcentral.
GAUGAACGCUGGCGGCGUGCCUAAUACAUGCAAGUCGAGCGAACGGACGAGAAGCUUGCUUCUCUGAUGUUAGCGGCGGACGGGUGAGUAACACGUGGAUAACCUACCUAUAAGACUGGGAUAACUUCGGGAAACCGGAGCUAAUACCGGAUAAUAUUUUGAACCGCAGGGUUCAAAAGUGAAAGACGGUCUUGCUGGCACUUAUAGAUGGAUCCGCGCUGCAUUAGCUAGUUGGUAAGGUAACGGCUUACCAAGGCAACGAUGCAUAGCCGACCUGAGAGGGUGAUCGGCCACACUGGAACUGAGCCACGGUCCAGACUCCUACGGGAGGCAGCAGUAGGGAAUCUUCCGCAAUGGGCGAAAGCCUGACGGAGCAACGCCGCGUGAGUGAUGAAGGUCUUCGGAUCGUAAAACUCUGUUAUUAGGGAAGAACAUAUGUGUAAGUAACUGUGCACAUCUUGACGGUACCUAAUCAGAAAGCCACGGCUAACUACGUG